This 3665-nucleotide long non-coding RNA is filed under the name Homo sapiens (human). RNAcentral describes it as "HSALNT0391853". Lineage: Eukaryota; Metazoa; Chordata; Mammalia; Primates; Hominidae. The record is from RNAcentral.
ACACUUUAGUGUUCAGCCCCUUAACCUAAGGAGGAGCUACACAAAUGAAGAACUGUGGAACUGACCUCAGAUGCUCUCUCGUUGGAAAUUGGCACGCAAACCACAACCACGAUGGCGGCUUCUGAGAGGUGGAGGAGAGGGGUGUGGCAAAGCAGCAAGGAAGGGGGUCUGGGGUCCAGCCCAGCUGGGACAGUGAAGGUUCCCUGUUCAAGGCUCAGAUACCAAGUAUGCUGGGAACAACCAAGACCCAGGGGGCCGCUUGCUGCUAGCUUAUUGUUUGCGGAGUCUUAAAUGUGCAUAACAGCUGUGCACAGUGUUGCAGAGCCAUGCACGAAGCGGACAUUGCAACCAACCAGGACUGGGAAUUCCAUCUUCUCUGCUUUCAAGAGCUCAGGCCUGAUUGGUGGUCCUACCUCCCAACUAUCUCUGGAAUCUCUGCUUUUCUCCUAAUUCCAUUGCUGCAAAGAGUCUAGAUGAAGACUUUGAACUUUUGCCUGGACACCUCCAGUAUCCUGAUGAAGUCGUUCCCUUCAGCCAGGCUCUGUUUCCUCUGAGCCUGGGUGGAAACAAACAGAGCCUGGUCACCCAAGGACAUGAGUAUUGGGAACACGGACUCGGAUGAAAAUCCCAAAAAAAGCCAAAGUCCUCCCAGCGGCCCUCAUCCUCAGUGAUCAGGCCCCGUUGCUGCUCGGACCUCUCUCUCUCUGCUCCGGCCCCGCUGCCUGCUCUGCUGCACUGGGCUUGUGGGGCUGGGGUGGCUCUGGACACUGGGAUAUUUUUAUUUAACUCCCAAGGCAAUUCUAACGUGCAGCCGGGUGGACAGCCAGGAUCUCCAGGAGAAGUUCACGUCCUUCUCUGCCGCAUCUCUAACCCGGCCUGGGUCUAUGGCCCCGGCUCCUCUCCCUCCCCUCCCCAUCUUCUUCUCUCCUCCCAGCCCCCCACGCUUAAAUCACAUCAAACCUCAGCCCGUUCUCUUUUCACCCCUCUGUGCCUUUGCACUUGCAAUCGUUCCUGCAGAAAAGAACCUCUGUUAAUGUUUUGGGAUUUCCUCCAGUCUGGGCAGCCUCCCGUCAUCUCCUCAGUGGACACGUAUCGACCCCUUCUCGUUCACUGUCUUACUUCAUCUUUCAGCUCCACAGAGCAGACUGUGUUUAUCUCUAAUAGUCCUCGUUCUGCUGCAUUUUAAUCAUUUGUUUACCGGCUCUAAAUGUGGAAAUACAGGGGCUUUGGUGCCAGCAGACCUGGGUUGGAAGGCUAAGUUCCGCCACUUAUAUUCUGUGGCUUUGCGUAAGUCACAAAACAGCUCUGAGCCUCAGUUUCCUCAUCUGUAAACCACAAGCCUUCACUCAACCCAUUUUUUAUUGAGCACCUACUAAGUACCAUGCAGGUCAGACCCAUCUUCUCAUUUAACCUUUGCAGCACCCCUGUGAGCUAACACAUGGCAUUUAUGAAUCCAAGCUGGGGAGGGGACCAGCUCCAGCCUGGCUGGCCAUAGACCUUGGCCAAAUUGCUCAGGACCACCCCACCCCGCCUGCCAACUGCUGUCCCCAACCCUGGAUGUCCCAUGUUUGUCUCUGGUUCUGUGGGUGAGACACCCACUCCAUGGGGAUGUUGUGAGGGUCGUGUUCAAUGUAGGCAUGUGUGACUUAACACUGGGAAAUGUUCUGAGACAUUUUUCAUUGUGUGGACAUCACAGAGGGUACCUACACAAACCCAGGUGGUACAGCCUGUGGUAUAUGGUGUAUGCCUGUGGACCCAGGCUACAAACCUGUACAGCACGUUAGUGUACUGCAGUACUGAAUGCUGCAGGCAAUUGGAACAUGGUAGUAGGUAUUCAUGUUUCUUUUCUUUUCUUUUUCCUUUUUUUUUUCUUUUUUUUGAGAUGGAGUCUUGCUCUGUCGCCCAGGCUGGAGUGCAGUGGCACAAUCUCGGCUCACUGCGACCUCCACCUCCCAGGUUCAAGCAAUUCUCCUGCCUCAGCCCCCCAAGUAACUGGGACUACAGGCGUCAGCCACCACACCCAGUUACUUUUUGUAUUUUUAGUAGAGACUGGAUUUCACCAUGUUGGCCAGGAUGGUCUCGAUCUCUUGACCUCGUGAUCCACCUUCAUCGGCCUCCCAAAGUGCUGGGAUUACAGGCGUGGGCCACCAUGCCUGGUAUUCAUGUUUCUAAACACAUCUAAACAUAGAAAAGGUUGGGUCAAAAUACAGUAUUAUAAUCUUAUGGAGCCACCAUCAUCAAUGCGGUCUGUGCUGACGCAAAUGUUGUUACAUGGUGCAUGACAGUAGCACCUGCCGAGCACUGAGAACAAGGAAGCCCUCAGUGCACGUUAGCUGUCAUUGUCAUCACUGUCUUCUCAUCACCUGCCAGGUGGAGAAAUGGCUCUUACACCUUCAGUCUUGUAGGAUUGUUCAGAAGAUUAAAUGAGAUAAUAGAGUAAACUGCAGCAUACAAUAAAUUUCUUAAUAAAUGUCCCUUUCCUUCCUUCCUUUUCCCCUGACCCCACUACCUCCUUUAGGGACUCUGUUCCUUGGACAAUGAUUGCUUCCUUUAUGCUCUGGAGUCCAGCAGAGACUGACACACAGUUGGGGCUAAACACGUCUGAGGGUGAUGAAACUCCCAUUUCUGACGCCGUCAACUUGUUUUCUGUAAUGUUAGCCCUGCCAUAUUCCAGCUCGACAGAGCUUGGGCAGCCCGAGGUGGUGACUGUAUUUGGCCAUCAGCCAUGUCCCUUGCAGGGCCAGUCUCUGAGGUGCCAUGAGACCUUCUGUGCCUGGCAAGCCGGGGCACUUCGGAGAAUGGCAGCUGCCUGGUUUCUCAGGGGAGCAACUACAUUCCUAAGUCGCUUGGGGAUCGCUUGACUUCCCUCAUUCAUUCACCCAUCCUUCCAUCCAUCUAUUCCUUCAUCCAGCAAAUUGGACCCCUUCCGUGUGCCAGACACUGUUCUGAGCAGAAGCACCUGCCCUUGAGGAAGUGACACUCCAGUGGGGAGAGACAAGUAAGCUCACAAAGAUCUAUCUGCAAAAUCAAAUUCCAGGUAGUGAUCAGUGCCACGAACAAAAAUAAAAAUGAAUAAAGAGAUGUAAAAUGAUUUCCUUCCCCAAGGGCAGAGGAUUCUUUCUAGCAGGUUAUUUGGAAAAGUUCCCUCUGAAGAGGUGACAUUUGAUCAUUGUUAAAGUCACAUGCAUCAUUGUGAACAUUUCACAAAACACAGAAGAACCUAAUGCUUUCGCACAAACCAUCAUCUAGAAAUCACACCAUCUCAACAUCUUGUCGUUUAAAAAUUGAUAUAUAAUAAUGGUACAUAUUUCUGGGGUCCCUGUGAUAUUUUGAUACAUGCAGACAAUGUGUAAUGAUCAAAUCAGGGUAAUUAGGCUAUCCAUCACUUCAAACAUGUAUCAUUUCUUUGCCAAUGCCUUGUCUUUUGUCGUCUUAAAGUACAGAUUUGCAUCAUGCUUUUUAAAAUUUAACAUUACACUAUAAUUAUUUUGUAGCUGUGUUUAUGUUUUUCUGUUUUCAAGUAUCAAUAUAUAGUAUGGAUUUUUAAAAAAUUGGUACUGUAAAUGUACAUGAAGUUUUUCUGUCUUUACAAAAGAAGUGCAUAUUGUUGUAUGAAUUCUAGAAAAUCAAGAUAAGGAAGAAAAUUAAAAUCCUUCAUAAUCCUA